CAGGGAAUCUUGCGCAAUGGGCGAAAGCCUGACGCAGCGACACCGCGUGGGGGAUGAAGGCCCUAGGGUUGUAAACCCCUUUUCUCGGGGAAGAGUAAGGACGGUACCUGAGGAAUAAGGAUCGGCUAACUACGUGCCAGCAGCCGCGGUAAUACGUAGGAUUCGAGCGUUGUCCGGAUUUACUGGGCGUAAAGGGUGCGUAGGCGGCAUGGUAAGUCUCAUGUGAAAUCUCCCGGCCUAACUGGGAGGGGUCAUGGGAAACUGCCAAGCUUGAGGGCAGCAGAGGAGAGCGGAAUUCCGGGAGUAGUGGUGAAAUGCGUAGAUACCCGGAGGAACACCCGAGGCGAAAGCGGCUCUCUGGGCUGUACCUGACGCUGAGGCACGAAAGCGUGGGGAGCAAACCGGAUUAGAUACCCCUGUAGUCC
Molecule: ribosomal RNA, 425 nt
Filed under: uncultured prokaryote
Description: bacterial SSU rRNA
Rfam family: Bacterial small subunit ribosomal RNA
Source: RNAcentral